This is a long non-coding RNA of Etheostoma spectabile (orangethroat darter), 170 nucleotides long. RefSeq lists it as uncharacterized. The transcript is spliced from 3 exons. NCBI's taxonomy places the organism in Eukaryota, Metazoa, Chordata, Actinopteri, Perciformes, Percidae. The record is from RefSeq and is a predicted model, not a curated record.
UUUGCCACACACAGCUGCUACGUCCAAACCCCAUGUCUGCCAGGCUGGUACAGACUGACAGGCGUGUGCACGGAUCCAGGCAGGAGGAACAUGUUCAGUCAAUCGCUCUGGAACAAACAGUGAUGCCCAAAGGAGCUGUGAAUGACAGAGCCAUCAGCACACCAAAAGGU